This 597-nucleotide long non-coding RNA is filed under the name Pandoravirus dulcis. RNAcentral describes it as "putative ncRNA". The record is from RNAcentral.
GCUGCCUUUUUUUUUCUUUCGUGGACCCACGACGAUUUGUCGGGUCCCUUAUUCUGCGCGCCACAGAGACCAAAGGCUGUGAUUGCAUGUUUUUUUCAUUGGUCAGAUCGCAUCAACCGGCUAUCCUUUUUCUCUCGGCCACAGGAAAAAGGCACCCGACCUCGACUCUGGUCGGCAUGACGGCGGGGUAAAUGGUUGGCCCCCGCAAAUCGCACGACCAAUCGAUGAGGACAAAGGAAAAAAAAGAGGGAAGAGAACAACGGGAAAAGAGGUCGGGCAGAGACCGAGCGCAACCGACCCGCAUUCGGCUUGGCGCUCGCGCCUCCUCCCGAGUCACAAAAAGGACAGCGCAUCGGUCCGCCUCCCCACCUCCCGCCCGCCAGUUCCGAAUCUGUCCGCGCAUUCGUCGGCUCUGGCGCGCUUUCUCCCUGCAGACUUUGCCGGUUCUUUCAAAAAAAACCGGCAAUAAAGACGGCCAUCUCUGCACAAAAAAGAAACUAUCAAAAAAAAAUACUUUCUCGCAUACUUUUUCUCGUGCGACGAGAACAAAAAGGACCGCUCCCUUGUCGUGUGCCGGUGGUCGCCCGCAAAGCAGCG